UAUGCAAAAAUAUCUAAGAAGUUUGCUCACCCUUGUAGUAAGCAGUUGCAAACUCUGUUUUGGACCUGCGUUUUCCAUCUGAGACCGUGGGGAAGAUGAAUAAAGCCUUCCGUGCCUACUUUCAUGAUCAGUCCUAGAGCGGGACCAACGUCUACUGGGACAGAAGGGCUGCCUCAUAGCUAACCAGCUGUCAUUGGCCCUUAGAGGCUGAAAGAGAUCCUGACGUUUCUAAGGAAAGUUGAAGAAAGCCCUGGGAUACACCUUACUGUACCUGGAGCAGACCACUGGGGAUAGAAGACAUGCUCCGCGCUGCUCUGGACAUUUGGAGUGGACACUAGCUCAAAACCACAGAGCCCUGAGUUUGACCCUAGCACUCUGUGGCUACUGAUGACUCAUCCCGAUAAUUAUCAGAUUGAAUCUUCUCUACUGGUUUGGUAAUAACAAUGAGUGGAAAAAGAACUUCAAUCAGAUGUUCAUGCCUAAUAAUCGGUCUCCUGAUUGCCUUUGUAGACUCAUGGUUCUCUUCUUUUUCCUGGUCAUGGAAAUCUUCACAUCAGUAUAUAAAGAGUUGCCUCAUCCUUUUUGACAGCUGCAUAAUGUUCCAUUAUAGAGCUGUAGCCCCAAUUCACAGAUUUCCUAUUGAUCUUAUGGGACAAAUGCUGCUGGGAACUAGAGCUUACAGCUCAUGUGGAGGGGAUGGCUGAUGCCUCCCGGGCUUCCUCCCCUCCCGGCACCCACCUGCCAGUUCCCUUCGACAAUAGCCUGGGAAAGCAGUAUGUAUCCAGGAAAUCCCAGCUCUACCGAGAAGAGAAGUGAGAACAUUUCCGAGGGAAAGGUCAGAGGGAGGCUUUGGUAGGCAUGAAGUGUACUGGAAUUUGGCCUACAGUGGACAAACACACAGAUCUCGUCGCUACAAAAAAUAUCCCUUGAUGUUGCCCCAUCCAUUCAAGCCAAACCUCAGAGAGCCCCAGGAAGAAGAACUCAUAGAUGUUUACAGUGCUGGUCAGCAUUGUUUAAAAGGUAGGAUGGCACAGGUCAGAAAGUCCUAUGAUGGCGCUCUGAACUAAUACUCAACCUGUAAAAGCAAAUGUCAUAUUAUAAUUCCUUAGUUGCAGGCUUAGGAAAAAGAACAACCAAAAUUUUUGCCAGUUGGGAGAUGAAAAUGACAUGGAAAGGAGGCCACUGUAUCUAGCUUCUCCAGAGUGGACAAUCCAAGAGAGAGCCAGACAGAAGCCACAGCGUCUUUUACAGCUCAGCGCUGGAAGUCAUGGCCAUACCUUUCUGCAGUGUCUGUUGGUUACACAGGUCAUCCCCAUUCCGUGCCACAGCAGAGCACAUACAGGUGGAAACACUGGGAAGUGGGAAUUUGGGGGGCUAUCUUGGAGGGUGGCCACCGCAAUGAUAGAGACAUUUCUGUGCAUACAGGAUGGAGAAGAGAUUCAUGUGUUGGCUGAGUGAUUGAUUUUUUUAAAAAAGAUUUUAUUUAU
This is a long non-coding RNA of Lutra lutra (Eurasian river otter), 1487 nucleotides long. RefSeq lists it as uncharacterized. The transcript has 8 exons. The record is from RefSeq and is a predicted model, not a curated record. NCBI's taxonomy places the organism in Eukaryota, Metazoa, Chordata, Mammalia, Carnivora, Mustelidae.